AACGCUAGCUACAGGCUUAACACAUGCAAGUCGAGGGGAAACGACAUCGAAAGCUUGCUUUUGAUGGGCGUCGACCGGCGCACGGGUGAGUAACGCGUAUCCAACCUGCCCAUCACUUGGGGAUAACCUUGCGAAAGUAAGACUAAUACCCAAUGACGUCUCUAGAAGACAUCUGAAAGAGAUUAAAGAUUUAUCGGUGAUGGAUGGGGAUGCGUCUGAUUAGCUUGUUGGCGGGGUAACGGCCCACCAAGGCGACGAUCAGUAGGGGUUCUGAGAGGAAGGUCCCCCACAUUGGAACUGAGACACGGUCCAAACCCCUACGGGAGGCAGCAGUGAGGAAUAUUGAUCAAUGGACGAGAGUCUGAACCAGCCAAGUAGCGUGCAGGAUGACGGCCCUAUGGGUUGUAAACUGCUUUUAUAAGGGAAUAAAGUGAGUCUCGUGAGACUUUUUGCAUGUACCUUAUGAAUAAGGACCGGCUAAUUCCGUGCCAGCAGCCGCGGUAAUACGGAAGGUCCGGGCGUUAUCCGGAUUUAUUGGGUUUAAAGGGAGCGUAGGCUGGAGAUUAAGCGUGUUGUGAAAUGUAGAUGCUCAACAUCUGCACUGCAGCGCGAACUGGUUUCCUUGAGUACGCACAAAGUGGGCGGAAUUCGUGGUGUAGCGGUGAAAUGCUUAGAUAUCACGAAGAACUCCGAUUG
RNAcentral lists this ribosomal RNA (696 nucleotides) under uncultured bacterium. RNAcentral's name for it is "bacterial SSU rRNA". It matches the Rfam family "Bacterial small subunit ribosomal RNA", at positions 32 to 715 of the family's 1533-position model. The record is from RNAcentral.